AGGGAGCGAGGGCAGCGUGCGCGUGCGCGUGCGCGGGGGGAGCGAGUCUGUAGCUGGGACCCGACGGGCGCGUUGUUGUUUGGCUGAGGCCGGGUGUGGGGGCGGGUCUGUCUCUGGCCAGGCCCGGGGAGGGGGCUCGGGCCGUGCCCAGAGCCGGGUCUGUGUUGGGCUGAGCCCCAGUGGCCGGGGCUGUGUCUGGCUAGGCUCGCUAUGGGCCCAGGCCAGGCCACUGUGACGUACCAGCAAGCUGCUCUGCAGCCGCAGGGAUUGGAGCUAGAUCGCUCCCAGAGAAGAUGGCAACUCUCUGCCUCGGAAACUGGAGACUAUGGCUGCAUCCACGCUGUACGCUCAUUGGUGGUGGCGUGUAGGAUGUUUAGAAUUGAUGACACUGCUCAUUCACACAUGACUAACAUAGAAGAUUCCUCAAGAACAAACUACUCCACCCAGCUCCACUAGUAAGGACAUGUGUCACUGCACUGCUGCUGAAGUGCCAUAAAAAGCAGCCAUUGUGAUAUCUCCCAGGAUUGGCCUGUGUCCCAUUUACACAGGAGUAGUGAUGACAUCACAAAUUAGGGAUGACAGGAGGCGUAAUGUCAUAAGGGGAGGGAUUUAUCAUUUCAUUUUAGCAGCAGGAAAGGAGUGACAUCACAAUAGAAGCUACUGAAAUCACAGCAUGAGGGAGAAUCUUGAUAUGGCAUGAUAUCCCAGAAACAAAGGGUUGGAAGGUGUUGUGGAACGUCACAGCAGCAGUGAGAGGCAGUUCAGAGAAGGAAGAAAGUCUCAGCUCAGUUGCUCCAGGGCUGGGUUCUCACGCUGCAGCUUAACAAUGAUGGUUUUUACUUUUCCUAUGAUUCUUUGUAAUCAUCCCCACCUAUUCUGCAAAAUUUUGCAUUUAGAUUUUGUAAACCUUUGAAACAUUCCUUUCCAUCCCUUCUCUUUCCUGGCCUUCUUCCCAAGCUACUGGUAUGCCAGGCUUUUGUGACUGGUAUUCCUCUCUCCAAACCCUACCCAGUGUUGACAAUUCUCACAAUAAUUAGUGUUGAAUGAAUACAUGAGAAUCUCAGCUUUCAUUUGAAGGGGAAGAAAUACCUUUGUAUCCCUCACAGUUGUGGAGAAAAGGCUGACAAUGUUACCCUAAUGGAAAAGGCUCAGAAAUCAGAAGGGGAGGGGAAAGAACUCCAGAUAAUUUUUAAACUCAUUAUUUUUAAGCCAGUCUCAUGAUUUUUAAGCCCAACUUGUGAGUUUUGAACAUUGGUUGUUGACAAUACUGCUUGUCAAGUAUCAGAGGGGUAGCUGUGUUAGUCUGGAUCUGUAAAAGCAGCAGAACAGUGCUGGAUCUGUAAAAGCAGCACCCACGAAAGCUCAUGCUCCAAUACGUCUAUUAGUCUGUAAGGUGCCACGGGACUCAAUACUGCUUGUGUUAUAUAGGAGCGGCAUUGUGGGCUAGUGGAUAAAGCUUAGGACUCUGGCGACCUGAGUCCUAGUCCCAUCUUGGCCCCUGGGUGACCAUGGGCAAGUCAGUUGCCUGCUCUGUGCUCAGUUUCCCCAUCUAUAAAAUAGGGAUAAUGAUACUAAUCACCUUUGUAAAGUGCUUUGAGAUCUAUUGAUGAAAAGCAGUGUAUGAGAACAUUGGUGGUCACGGUGGUGCGUGGGCGGGGGGCAAUUGAAUGAGUUGGCAGUCAGGGAAGUUUCUAGGGCAGCUGCAGCUGGCAUUAUGUUCUUACUUUGUUGCUACCUCCGUUCUCCCUGCCAGUUUAUUCUGAUUGUGAAGCAGGAGAGCAACAGGUACCAUCUUUGGCAACAGGGAAGAGGAAUUCCUGCUGUCCAUGUGUAGCUCUGCUGGACACAUGACAUCACAGGGAUGCAUGUCACAGGGCUGUGAGAUUUGUCCAGUGAGAUGCCCAGCACUUGCAUACUGUUACUUUUAGUUGGACCCUCCACCCCCUUAAAUACAUUAGAGU
Molecule: long non-coding RNA, 1961 nt
Organism: Mauremys mutica (yellowpond turtle)
Lineage: Eukaryota; Metazoa; Chordata; Testudines; Geoemydidae
Exons: 3
Source: RefSeq, a predicted model, not a curated record